This 376-nucleotide ribosomal RNA is filed under the name uncultured bacterium. Its description in RNAcentral is "bacterial SSU rRNA". It matches the Rfam family "Bacterial small subunit ribosomal RNA", at positions 524 to 898 of the family's 1533-position model. The record is from RNAcentral.
UACGUGGAGUCCAAGCGUUAUCCGGAUUUACUGGGCGUAAAGCGUCCGUAGGUGUCUGGCUAAGUCUUCGGUGAAAUCUCCGGGCUUAACUCGGAAAUUGUCGAGGAAACUAGCUAGAUUGAGUACGGCAGAGGCAGAUGGAAUUCUUGGUGUAGAGGUAAAAUUCGUUGAUAUCAAGAAGAACACCAGUGGCGAAGGCGAUCUGCUGGGCCGUAACUGACACUGAGGGACGAAAGCGUGGGUAGCGAACGGGAUUAGAUACCCCGGUAGUCCACGCCGUAAACGAUGGGUACUAGGCAUCUGAGGAAUAGACCCCUUGGGUGUCGAAGCUAACGCGUUAAGUACCCCGCCUGGGGAGUACGGUCGCAAGACUAAA